RNAcentral lists this ribosomal RNA (583 nucleotides) under Anelaphus parallelus. RNAcentral describes it as "partial large subunit ribosomal RNA". The stretch from base 206 to 399 matches the Rfam family "Archaeal large subunit ribosomal RNA", at positions 1794 to 2108 of the family's 2987-position model. Lineage: Eukaryota; Metazoa; Arthropoda; Insecta; Coleoptera; Cerambycidae. The record is from RNAcentral.
GUCUCGAAUUCAGAAGAGCUAUAUAUUUUAUUGUAAUAAAUAUUUUUAAAACGUAAUGAAAUGUUAAUAUAUCUAGUUUUUCAAGAAAAUUUAAUUUUUUUAUAUUUUCAGGGAUGAGCUUGAAUUAUGAUUAGAAGUUUUGUUAUAGUCUAUUUAUUGAAAUUUAUUUUUUAAUUAUUUUAGUAAUAAUGAUUUAAUUAGUAUAAGAUUAAGAAAAGGAAUUCGGCAAAUAUUCUUCACCUGUUUAUUAAAAACAUGGCCUUUUGAUAAUAAUUGAAGGUCUAGCCUGCCCGCUGAGGCCGCGGUAUUUUGACCGUGCGAAGGUAGCAUAAUAAUUAGUUUUUUAAUUGGAAGCUGGAAUGAAUGGUUGAAUGAGGGAAUAACUGUCUCUUUUUAAUAGAACUUUAUUUUUAAGUAAAAAAGCUUAAAUGUUAUUAAAAGACGAGAAGACCCUAUAGAGUUUUAUUUUGGUUGGGGCGAUCGAAAAAUUUAUUUAACUUUUGAUUAUUAGAUAAAAUUACCUUAGGGAUAACAGCGUAAUUCUUUUUAGAGUUCUAAUCGAAAAAAGGGUUUGCGACCUCGA